Molecule: ribosomal RNA, 479 nt
Filed under: uncultured bacterium
Lineage: Bacteria
Description: bacterial SSU rRNA
Rfam family: Bacterial small subunit ribosomal RNA
Source: RNAcentral
ACUCCUACGGGAGGCAGCAGUGGGGAAUUUUGGACAAUGGGGGCGAACCCCUGAUCCAGCAAUGCCGCGUGAGUGAAGAAGGCCCUCCGGGUUGUAAAGCUCUUUUGUUCAGGGAAGAAACGGUGAUCUCUAAUAUAGAUUGCUAAUGACGGUACCUGAAGAAUAAGCACCGGCUAACUACGUGCCAGCAGCCGCGGUAAUACGUAGGGGUGCAAGCGUUAAUCGGAAUUACUGGGCGUAAAGCGUGCGCAGGCGGUUUUGUUAAGUCUGAUGUGAAAUCCCCGGGGCUCAACCUGGGAACUGCAUUGGAGACUGCAAGGCUAGAGUGUGUCAGAGGGGGUAGAAUUCCACGUGUAGCAGUGAAAUGCGUAGAGAUGUGGAGGAAUACCGAUGGCGAAGGCAGCCCCCUGGGAUAACACUGACGCUCAUGCACGAAAGCGUGGGGAGCAAACAGGAUUAGAUACCCUGGUAGGAUAGCG